AGUGAACGCUGGCGGUAGGCCUAACACAUGCAAGUCGAACGGCAGCACAGUAAGAGCUUGCUCUUACGGGUGGCGAGUGGCGGACGGGUGAGGAAUACAUCGGAAUCUACUUUUUCGUGGGGGAUAACGUAGGGAAACUUACGCUAAUACCGCAUACGACCUACGGGUGAAAGCAGGGGAUCUUCGGACCUUGCGCGAUUGAAUGAGCUGAUGUCGGAUUAGCUAGUUGGCGGGGUAAAGGCCCACCAAGGCGACGAUCCGUAGCUGGUCUGAGAGGAUGAUCAGCCACACUGGAACUGAGACACGGUCCAGACUCCUACGGGAGGCAGCAGUGGGGAAUAUUGGACAAUGGGCGCAAGCCUGAUCCAGCCAUACCGCGUGGGUGAAGAAGGCCUUCGGGUUGUAAAGCCCUUUUGUUGGGAAAGAAAAGCAGCGGGUUAAUACCCCGCUGUUCUGACGGUACCCAAAGAAUAAGCACCGGCUAACUUCGUG
RNAcentral lists this ribosomal RNA (492 nucleotides) under uncultured bacterium. Its description in RNAcentral is "partial 16S ribosomal RNA". It matches the Rfam family "Bacterial small subunit ribosomal RNA", at positions 29 to 507 of the family's 1533-position model. The record is from RNAcentral.